AUGACUGAUAGUAUCAGAAUUUCUUUGUUUGCCAAAUGUACAGGGUACACGGGGGAAUUUAACUUGGUAUUUCUCUGCGUAACAUGCAACAAUUAUAAGUGUAAAAGCAAUUACACCUAAGUGUGAUACCUAGAAUAUGUACAAACAUGUACACGUAUGCAACAUACAUGACCCACAUACAGCAUGUGACCAUCCAAAUAGUGCAAAACAAUGUAGUGCAAUUUUAACAUGCUGCAAUUUCACACACAUGGCAAAUUUGUUCUUAUUAGGCUUUGUAGUUUUAUUUUUGGUAGAGUGACUUCUUUAAAGACCUCUGCCACUACCUCAAUGGGGUACGAUGACACUUGAGUAGUUACACUGUGUGGCCUGACGUCUGCCAAUAUUUGAACUUCUGGUUGAAUUUUAGUUUAAUCUCAGCUCUCAAGCUUAGGUCCUCUGUCUGGGUGUUCUUCUGAUCUAAAUUUACCAAUAGUAAUUGUUUAUGUACUGAAAAUGUAUGGUUUGACAGUUUUACACCAAGAAUGUCCUUAAUGGAGCAGGCCAUGAACUACAAGAAGCCAUUUAGUGAGGGUGAUCCUUUGAAUUUAUUACUCUUGGUGGACUAAGAAUGGACUUCUUUUUUUUUUUCUUUCUUUUUUUUGCUUACAACUGAAGUACUCUUGAUUUUUUUUUUUUUUUAUGCCUCCACAACGGCACAGCCAGCACUUGGAAUCAAGGAUGAACUGAUUAGAUUUUGGUGGGCAAAGGUCACGGUCACUGUGACCCCACAAAGCACGUUUUUUGCCAUAACUCAAGAAUUCAUAUGCUAAUUAUGACAAAGUUUCACACAAAUGUCUAAUAGGAUAAAAUGAAGUGAUGGCAUUUUAUAUCCAAAUGGUCAAUCUAGUCAGGAAAAGGAACCAGGGAUGGAGUGAAUUAUCACAUGCAUGAAGCCUUGAUGAAGUGAUGACAUUUUAUAUCCAGACUGGCUACUGGUUGGCAGAGGCAUACAACCGUGAGGUGGUAUUUCUAGUUGUUAUUGUCAUCUGAAAUGACAGGGAAAUGCUUGUUUGAACUUUAACUUCCAACUUUCACAAUUUUCUGAAUUUUGUGCACAGCUGUUGCUACAUCAGAGUGAAGCAUUUAAUGGUAAGGUGCUGAAGAACCAAUAACGUUUCUGUUUUCUCCAAAUCCACUAUCCCCUCUGCCAGAUGGAGGGGGAGGGAUGUUCUCCUGCUAAGCUUCGUUACUCAAGGAUUUUCAUUUAGUUGGAGAGUGUGCGAGACAUUUGUGUUCUAGACUAUAAACGCUGUCGCAAAAGUUUAAAUUACGGAAAAUAACCGUAAUUGCCAUGCUCAGUAUUCCCUACUGUUUAAAAAGAAUAUAAAUUUUUACUUUGUGUCGCUUGACAUUCUGUAGGGUUUAAAGAAUGCAACGCAAACUACGUUCAGAAUGUUGAAAUGCAGUGGCACCUGACACUAAGCUGAGCUGAACACCUGGUUGUGGUUUUGGUCGUAAUGUUUUUUUCCCCACUUCCCUUUCGGGGCCCAAAGGUUCGCAGUUACCCUGCUGUAUUUUUAGAUUUUCUUCUCCUUCCUGGAAAGUGGCAGGCAAAUGAGGGCUGAGGGUUUGCACCUGUUGAAGCUCUGGUGAUCUGGUGAUUGGGGAUUGUAGUCUGGCUGUAUAUCAAGCAAAAUGACUUGUAGUCUGGGUGAAUAGCUUACCAAGCAGCGACUGACCACCAGUCACAGUAAGUUUUGUGCAGUGCGGUCCAGCAAAUUAAGUAUACAGACAACAGAAAUGACACUGGGAAAUCUCACUUCUAAAAGCCUUUAGAACACAUUUUGAACAUUUGUUUUAGUGCACUUUUUUUCAUUUGUCCUUUAUUUUGCGUUACAUUUCAUAACACAAAAACAGUUACACGACAAAGCUAACAACCAGACAAAAUACACUGAACCAAAAUACUUAAUAUAUAUUAUUGGAAAAAAAAAAACCACAUUGUUCUUUAUCCUUGCAAAAAAACUUGUCUGUAUUCUCUUGGGUGUUCUUUUUUAUUUGGAACUUACAGUUUAAGUGCUCUUCAAUGGGAUGCAUUCUAAAAGUCUUGACAGCAGGGAAAGGAAGGUUGUUUGACUGGGGCAAGCAACAGUCCUGAGAUCUGUUAUCCAGGGUGAGUAGAAAACAAUUUUUGGAAACCAAGUGGUUCAUAUUGUUACUGGAUCUUUAAGUUGAUGUAUAUACCCUCUGGUACCCAGUCGAGCCGUUUUUCCUGCAGCUCAGAGUAACACACCAUAAACUUCUACUCUGAAACCUGAAAUGAAACAAAAACUACGUCUGAGAUGAUUGCUUAUAACACACAUAGCAGAUGCAACACAUGCCAACAAAUAAUCUUGUUCUUCCACUUUAAACAUUCACAGCUCUACCACAGUGAAAAGCAGAUGUACCACAGUAAUCAUCUCAUCAAACUGCUGCAGCUGAACAGGUUUGGGCUUUUUAAGUACUUGAAUGGGAGACCUGGGUAAACUAAGUUGCUGCGGAUAGUGGUAUUGGUGAGCCAGCAUGGGGCACUGUUCUUGCUGGACCAAGUCCAGUGCUCCAGCACAACUGUGUGGUAGAAGAUGCAAAUCUUGAACACUUUCAACCAAGGCCCUGACCGUGUCAUUCAAAAGCCAAUAGCACUUUUAGAAUGUGUAUGGGGUUCCUACAAAAAACUGGCUUCCUGCCAGUGGCCACUUAAUCACAGCCCAGAUCUGAUUGGCUGCACAAUCCUUUGCUCUCUCUACCUGCUUUAAUUCUCCAGGUUGCCUUUGCAACUCAGAAUUUCUCUGGUUCUCUGGGCAGAGUAUUGAUCUCAUAAUCUUGGAUCAAUCCUGAGUGUUCAGGCGGAAUGUGACCAGGAGCCAGUGAGCUGGGAGAGUGACACAUAAUUAACCACAACAUCACAUCAUCCAUGGAGGAGGGAGGGGUUGAGCCAGUAGGGUUCUCCCAGUUACACUUGUACAUUAGCCUCGAUCUGGUCGAUCGGAAGGGUGCAGCUCUGUUAGUGGACCCGUUUUGGAUGAUGUGCACACUGCACUCUGACAGUGAAAGCAUUGCAGCAAUAGGAUGAGUUUAAGGUGUCAAUCCUUAGUUUUUUCAUAUUAAAAAUAGCAUAUUUCACACCUUUUCUGGGGUCUAUGAAUCUCCCCAAUAAAAAUGUUAAUUUGCUAGAACUCA
Molecule: long non-coding RNA, 3195 nt
Organism: Anguilla rostrata (American eel)
Lineage: Eukaryota; Metazoa; Chordata; Actinopteri; Anguilliformes; Anguillidae
Exons: 2
Source: RefSeq, a predicted model, not a curated record